GGAAUGCGGCCCUGGGAGCGGAGCUGGGCGUGCGGGUCCUGCUCUUUGUGGCCUUCCUGGCGACCGAGCUGCUCCCUCCCUUCCAGCGGCGGAUUCAGCCCGAGGAGCUGUGGCUUUACCGGAACCCGUACGUGGAGGCGGAAUACUUCCCCACCGGCCCCAUGUUUGUGCGUGAGCUGCCCUCCCGCCCUGGUGGACUCCUCCCUGCCUUAUGCUGGGUGCUCAGGAGUUGAGCCUUGGGCAAGGCUUCUGGUGGGCUCUCCGAGUUCGAGCUUAGUGAGCGGCAACAGGUGGUUUAGGCCAGGAGGGACUUGGUUUUACCUGUCCUGUGCUCUCCUUCAGGUCAUUGCCUUUCUCACCCCACUGUCCCUGAUCUUCUUCGCCAAGUUUCUGAGGAAAGCUGACGCCACCGACAGCAAGCAAGCCUGCCUCGCUGCCAGCCUUGCCCUAGCUCUGAAUGGUGUCUUUACCAACAUCAUAAAACUGAUAGUGGGCAGGCCACGCCCAGAUUUCUUCUACCGAUGCUUCCCCGACGGGAUGGCCCAUUCUGACCUGACUUGCACAGGGGACAAGGAUGUGGUGAAUGAGGGCCGAAAGAGCUUCCCCAGUGGACACUCUUCCUGUAUGAGUCUCAUGUGAACUACCUCAAUGCUUACAUGGAUAUGUGUUUGGCUUCUCUGUGUGGAUGCAUGCUGAGGAGGGUAGGGGGAGGCGUUAGGUCCCCUGAAGUGGAGUUAGAGACCAGCCUGAGUUGCCAUGUGAGUGCUGGGAACUGAACCAAGGUCCUCUCAAAAGCCAACUGCUGCUGAGUCACUCUUAGCUCCUCCAGCCCCAGUGUGUACUUUAAAUAUGGUUACAUUUAACCUUCAGAGCUUUGUAGGGACGAGCCAUCUCUUCCUAGUCAAGAGCUACUUGUGAGGGGCCGCUGAGCCGUUUAUGUUGUUCCUUUGUAGCUCCCCAGACCGCAGCAAGGCCUAUUUUGUAACUUUUAUGAUUCCCACUUAUAGAUGAGGAGUCUACGGCACUGUGCAAAGUAGUAACUUCUAUUCCAGAAACCAUUGUUACUUAGUAUUUUAACUCGGGGACAGAGAAUGAAGCCUUCAUUUCCCCGUUCCCUGUAAUGACUUGGGGUAAUCCUGCCCUUGCUGCCUGCCCUGUCUGGAUGUGGGUGACAGGGCCCCACAGAAGGACGCCCAGCUCACAGGUCUUCCCUUUCUAGUUGCCUUUGCUGGCCUGGCCUUUGCUUCCUUCUACCUGGCAGGGAAGUUACACUGCUUCACACCCCAAGGCCGAGGGAAGUCCUGGAGGCUCUGUGCCUUUCUGUCACCUUUACUCUUUGCAGCUGUGAUUGCACUGUCCCGCACGUGUGACUAUAAGCACCACUGGCAAGAUGUGCUCGUUGGAUCCAUGAUUGGAACAACAUUUGCCUAUGUCUGCUACAGGCAGUACUACCCCCCUCUCACUGACACAGAGUGCCAUAAACCAUUCCAGGACAAGCACAGACUUCCGUCUUCACAGAAGCCCAGUGUGCCUCACCGUUUGGACAUUUAGUUGAGUCUACCUCAGUGGAGAGCAAGCAAAUCAAUCCUCCUAACUGGACACCAUGCACAAGCCAAGGAUUUCUGGCUUUUACCUCUUCCAAGGUCAAAGGGAGGACACAGCCACACUGUGCACCUUUGCCCCACUUCCAAGGCUAGACCCUGAGGUCUCACUGCCUGGCUUGACACGGGCUCUCUCAGUGCUUCUCUCACUAGGUUAAUGAGUCCGGUCCCAGUAU
This 1777-nucleotide long non-coding RNA is filed under the name Rattus norvegicus (Norway rat). RNAcentral describes it as "long non-coding RNA NONRATT012064". Lineage: Eukaryota; Metazoa; Chordata; Mammalia; Rodentia; Muridae. The record is from RNAcentral.